UCCCUUGUAGCUCAGUUGAUAAAAGAAUCUGCCUGCAAUGCAGGAGACCCGGGUUCAAUUCCUGGGUUAGGAA
Transfer RNA from Ovis aries (sheep), 73 nucleotides. It matches the Rfam family "tRNA". Rfam says of the family: Transfer RNA (tRNA) molecules are approximately 80 nucleotides in length. Their secondary structure includes four short double-helical elements and three loops (D, anti-codon, and T loops). Lineage: Eukaryota; Metazoa; Chordata; Mammalia; Artiodactyla; Bovidae. The record is from Rfam.